RNAcentral lists this transfer RNA (67 nucleotides) under Heteropsylla cubana. Its description in RNAcentral is "tRNA-Arg". Lineage: Eukaryota; Metazoa; Arthropoda; Insecta; Hemiptera; Psyllidae. The record is from RNAcentral.
AAAAUAAGAAGUAAAAAAAAUUACAUUUAGUUUCGACCUAAACCCAUGAAUAUAAAAUUCCUUAUUU